GUAGGGAAUUUUCGGCAAUGGGGGAAACCCUGACCGAGCAACGCCGCGUGAGCGAAGAAGGCCUUCGGGUCGUAAAGCUCUGUUGUAAAGGAAGAACGGCGCAUACAGGAAAUGGUAUGCGAGUGACGGUACUUUACCAGAAAGCCACGGCUAACUACGUGCCAGCAGCCGCGGUAAUACGUAGGUGGCGAGCGUUAUCCGGAAUCAUUGGGCGUAAAGAGGGAGCAGGCGGCCGCAAGGGUCUGUGGUGAAAGACCGAAGCUAAACUUCGGUAAGCCAUGGAAACCGGGCGGCUAGAGUGCGGAAGAGGAUCGUGGAAUUCCAUGUGUAGCGGUGAAAUGCGUAGAUAUAUGGAGGAACACCAGUGGCGAAGGCGACGGUCUGGGCCGCAACUGACGCUCAUUCCCGAAAGCGUGGGGAGCAAAUAGGAUUAGAAACCCUAGUAGUCCG
Molecule: ribosomal RNA, 450 nt
Filed under: uncultured bacterium
Lineage: Bacteria
Description: bacterial SSU rRNA
Rfam family: Bacterial small subunit ribosomal RNA
Source: RNAcentral